GGUUUAAUUCGAUGCAACGCGAAAAACCUUACCUACCUUUGACAUGUACGGAAUUCGCCAGAGAUGGC
This 68-nucleotide ribosomal RNA is filed under the name Mehylophilales bacterium 35-46-6. Its description in RNAcentral is "partial 16S ribosomal RNA". Lineage: Bacteria; Pseudomonadati; Pseudomonadota; Betaproteobacteria; Nitrosomonadales. The record is from RNAcentral.